CAGCCGCCGCGGGAAUACGUAGGUGGCAAGUGUUGUCCGGAAUUAUUGGGCGUAAAGGGCUCGCAGGCGGUUUCUUAAGUCUGAUGUGAAAGCCCCCGGCUCAACCGGGGAGGGUCAUUGGAAACUGGGAAACUUGAGUGCAGAAGAGGAGAGUGGAAUUCCACGUGUAGCGGUGAAAUGCGUAGAGAUGUGGAGGAACACCAGUGGCGAAGGCGACUCUCUGGUCUGUAACUGACGCUGAGGAGCGAAAGCGUGGGGAGCGAACAGGAUUAGAUACCCGAGUAGUCCCUGUCUCUUAUAC
RNAcentral lists this ribosomal RNA (301 nucleotides) under uncultured bacterium. RNAcentral describes it as "partial 16S ribosomal RNA". It matches the Rfam family "Bacterial small subunit ribosomal RNA", at positions 509 to 807 of the family's 1533-position model. The record is from RNAcentral.